This is a non-coding RNA of Pimephales promelas (fathead minnow), 157 nucleotides long. Lineage: Eukaryota; Metazoa; Chordata; Actinopteri; Cypriniformes; Leuciscidae. The record is from RefSeq and is a predicted model, not a curated record.
CUACUUUCCGAUUGGUAUUCUACGGUCGCGUCAGAGUCUACGGUGAGUCUACACUUAAUGCACUACUGUAGAAACCACUCCUUGCGAAUUCCCCAAAUGUGGGAAUCUCGACUGCAUAAUUUAUGGUAGUGGGGGACUGCGUUCGCGCUCUCCCCUG